Molecule: long non-coding RNA, 744 nt
Filed under: Calidris pugnax (ruff)
Lineage: Eukaryota; Metazoa; Chordata; Aves; Charadriiformes; Scolopacidae
Description: lncRNA (ENSCPUG00000017164.1)
Source: RNAcentral
AAGAUUUGUCUAACGUACAAGUUGCCGUAUGUCGCCAAUUUGGACAGAAUCAGCUUGACUCUGGAUAUGCUUCAUCAUUGUGAGCUUUCCUGAUCAUUGGGACUCUUGACUGAACCCAGCUGCUGUUUUUGGGCCUGCCCUGCUUGUACCUCUGGGGAUGAGUCCCUGACCUGCUGGUAGCAUCACUGCACUUGGAUCCCUGUUCCCUAGGAAGUUGCAGGCCCUCACUGCUCUUGGACAUCAUCUUCCUCAAAGUGUUCAAUUUCUUUCUGUGCACUGACUGCAUCUUCUCUACCAAGAAGACUACUGGAUCUUGCAGCAGCAAAGGCUUUCAGGUGAGCCUCAACAGCAUCCAUGGGCUUUGCUGUGGUCUUUUGGUCUCCAUUUAACCAGUUGCUUGGUCGCAAAGCAAACAACCUGCUGUGAGAGGAUCUGCCAGGGAAGAGCCUUUACUUAAUGUUGGGAGAAAGGACAUAUGAAGUGACCUGCAACCUCUGCACCAAGGAUGGGACUUAGCUGUGACCAGGUAGUCUCAGAUGGGAGAAGCAGGAAUUUUAUAUUGUUUGGAACGUAGAAGGAGACUUCUGUCUCACUGUUUUCUUGCCUAGAGUAUUUCUAAGAGUAAGAUGAGGGUGGGCCCUGAUAAACAAAUUUGGCAAUGAGGAGGUGACAUACCUUGUAGAAAAGGCAGAGUAGGGGCCUAAUAGACCUAGCAAAGUGGGGAGCUGGUGAGCUUUUAGCAAA